RNA transcript from Piliocolobus tephrosceles (Ugandan red Colobus), 2806 nucleotides. It is a transcript of the gene named S-adenosylmethionine synthase pseudogene, with no coding region annotated. Lineage: Eukaryota; Metazoa; Chordata; Mammalia; Primates; Cercopithecidae. The transcript has a single exon. The record is from RefSeq and is a predicted model, not a curated record.
CGCUCCGCGCCGCCCGCUUUCUCCGAGUAGGACGCUGUCCGCAGCUUGUGCAUUUCGCAGCCGCUGCCGCCUCGCCGGUGCUCCUUCGCAACGCCACUUCCACUCACCGACACCAACAUGAACCGACAGCUCAACGGCUUCCAGGAGGCGUUCAUCGAGGAGGGCACGUUCCUCUUCACCUCAGAGUCGGUGGGGGAAGGCCACCCAGAUAAGAUUUGUGACCAGAUCAGUGAUGCUGUCCUUGAUGCCCACCUUCAACAGGAUCCUGAUGCCAAAGUAGCUUGUGAAACUGUUGCUAAAACUGGAAUGAUCCUUCUUGCUGGGGAAAUUACAUCCAGAGCUGCUGUUGACUACCAGAAAGUGGUUCGUGAAGCUGUUAAACAUAUUGGAUAUGAUGAUUCUUCCAAAGGGUUUGACUACAAGACUUGUAAUGUGCUGGUAGCCUUGGAGCAACAGUCACCAGAUAUUGCUCAAGGUGUUCAUCUUGACAGAAAUGAAGAAGAUAUUGGUGCUGGAGACCAGGGCUUAAUGUUUGGCUAUGCCACUGAUGAAACUGAGGAGUGUAUGCCUUUAACCAUUGUCUUGGCACACAAGCUAAAUGCCAAACUGGCAGAACUGCGCCGUAAUGGCACUUUGCCUUGGUUACGCCCUGAUUCUAAAACUCAAGUUACUGUGCAGUAUAUGCAGGAUUGAGGUGCUGUGCUUCCCAUCAGAGUCCACACAAUUGUUAUAUCUGUUCAGCAUGAUGAAGAGGUUUGUCUUGAUGAGGUGAGGGAUGCCCUAAAGGAGAAAGUCAUCAAAGCAGUUGUGCCUGCAAAAUACCUUGAUGAGGAUACAAUCUACCACCUACAGCCAAGUGGCAGAUUUGUUAUUGGUGGGCCUCAGGGUGAUGCUGGUUUGACUGGACGGAAAAUCAUUGUGGACACUUAUGGCGGUUGGGGUGCUCACGGAGGAGGUGCCUUUUCAGGAAAAGAUUAUACCAAGGUCGACCGUUCAGCUGCUUAUGCUGCUCGUUGGGUGGCAAAAUCCCUUGUUAAAGGAGGUCUGUGCCGGAGGGUUCUUGUUCAGGUCUCUUACGCUAUUGGAGUUUCUCAUCCAUUAUCUAUCUCCAUUUUCCAUUAUGGUACCUCUCAGAAGAGUGAGAGAGAGCUAUUAGAGAUUGUGAAGAAGAAUUUCGAUCUCCGCCCUGGGGUCAUUGUCAGGGAUCUGGAUCUGAAGAAGCCAAUUUAUCAGAGGACUGCAGCCUAUGGCCACUUUGGUAGGGACAGCUUCCCAUGGGAAGUGCCCAAAAAGCUUAAAUAUUGAAAGUGUUAGCCUUUUUUCCCCAGACUUGUUGGCGUAGGCUACAGAGAAGCCUUCAAGCUCUGAGGGAAAGGGCCCUCCUUCCUAAAUUUUCCUGUCCUCUUUCAGCUCCUGAUCACUUGCAGUCACUCUAGUCAAUGACAUGAAUUUUAGCUUUUGUGGGGGACUGUAAGUUGGGCUUGCUAUUCUGUCCCUAGGUGUUUUGUUCACCAUUAUAAUGAAUUUAGUGAGCAUAGGUGAUCCAUGUAACUGCCUAGAAACAACACUGUAGUAAAUAAUGCUUUGAAAUUGAACCUUUGUGCCCUAUCACCCAAUGCUCCAAAGUCAUAAUUGCAUUGACUUUCCCACCAGAUGCUGAAAAUGUCCUUGUAAUGUGCACGUAAAGUACUUGUAGUUCCACUUACAGCCUGUCUGGCAAUGCCACAGCCCUGUCAGCAUGAAUUUGUAAUGUCUUGAGCUCUAUUAUGAAUGUGAAGCUUUCCCCUUACCCUCCCUGUAACUUGAUCCACUUCUAAUUAUGUAGCUCUUUUGUCAGGGAGUGUUCCCUAUCCAAUCAAUCUUGCAUGUAACGCAAGUUCCCAGUUGGAGCUCUAGCCUGACAUCAAAAAGAGGCAGUUACCAUUAAACCAUCUCCCUGGUGCUUAUGCUUUUAAUUGCCACCUCUAACAGCACCAAAUCAAAAUCUCUCCACUUUCAGCUGUCUUUUGGAGGACGUACGUAAUAAGGUUUUAAUUUAGUAAACCAAUCCUAUGCAUGGUUUCAGCACUAGCCAAACCUCACCAACUCCUAGUUCUAGAAAAACAGGCACUUGGCAGCCUUGUGAUGUCAUACAGAGAAGUCACAGGGCAGUACCUGAGGGUCUGUAGGUUGCACACUUUGGUACCAGAUAACUUUUUUUUUUCUUUAUAAGAAAGCCUGAGUACUCCACACUGCACAAGAACUCCUCCCAGGGUUUUAACUUUGUUUUAUUUUCAAAACCAGAUCCAAUGAGCUUUCUGAACAGCUGGUGUAGCUACAGAGAAACCAGCUUCCUUCAGAGAGCAGUGCUUUUUGGCGGGGAGGAGGAAAUCCCUUCAUACUUGAACGUUUUCUAAUUGCUUAUUUAUUGUAUUCUGGGGUAUGGCGUAAGUACAGAGAAGCCAUCACCUCAGAUGGCAGCUUUUAAAAGAUUUUUUUUUUUCUCUCAACACCAUGAUUCCUUUAACAUGUUUCCACCAUUCCCAGGUAGGCCAAGGUGUCCUACAGAAAAACCUUGGGUUAGACCUACAGGGGGUCUGGCUGGUGUUAACAGAAGGGAGGGCAGAGCUGGUGCGGCUGGCCACGGAGAAAGCUGACUUGGCUGGUGUGGUACAGAGAAGCCAGCUUGUUUACAUGCUUAUUCCAUGACUGCUUGCCCUAAGCAGAAAGUGCCUUUCAGGAUCUAUUUUUGGAGGUUUAUUACGUAUGUCUGGUUCUCAAUUCCAACAGUUUAAUGAAGAUCUAAAUAAAAUGCUAGGUUCUACCU